RNAcentral lists this ribosomal RNA (347 nucleotides) under uncultured bacterium. RNAcentral's name for it is "bacterial SSU rRNA". It matches the Rfam family "Bacterial small subunit ribosomal RNA", at positions 29 to 402 of the family's 1533-position model. The record is from RNAcentral.
AGCGAACGCUGGCGGCAGGCCUAACACAUGCAAGUCGAGCGCCCGUAGCAAUACGGGAGCGGCAGACGGGAGAGUAACACGUGGGAACGUACCCUUCAGUUCGGAGUAACCCAGGGAAACUUGGACUAAUACCGAAUACGUCCGUAAGGAGAAAGAUUUAUCGCUGAAGGAUCGGCCCGCGUCUGAUUAGCUUGUUGGUGAGGUAACGGCUCACCAAGGCGACGAUCAGUAGCUGGCUGAGAGGAUGAUCAGCCUCACUGGGACUGAGACACGGCCCAGACUCCUACGGGAGGCAGCAGUGGGGAAUAUUGGACAAUGGGCGCAAGCCUGAUCCAGCCAUGCCGCGU